AUGAACAUGUCAUUUAUUUGAAAGGGGCAAUUGCUCCACUACAAGAUGGACCUGCGUUGUAUUAGCUAGUAGGUGAGGAAAUGGCUCACCUAGGCGACGAUACAUAGCCGACCUGAGAGGGUGAUCGGCCACACUGGGACUGAGACACGGCCCAGACUCCUACGGGAGGCAGCAGUAGGGAAUCUUCGGCAAUGGGGGCAACCCUGACCGAGCAACCCACGUGAGUAAAGAAGGUUUUCGGAUCGUAAAGCUCUGUUGUAAGUCAAGAACCGGUGUCAGAGUGGAAAGGUCGCCCUGUGACGGUCGCUUACCAGAAAGGGACGGCUAAAU
This 330-nucleotide ribosomal RNA is filed under the name Streptococcus thermophilus. RNAcentral describes it as "bacterial SSU rRNA". It matches the Rfam family "Bacterial small subunit ribosomal RNA", at positions 184 to 502 of the family's 1533-position model. The record is from RNAcentral. Lineage: Bacteria; Bacillati; Bacillota; Bacilli; Lactobacillales; Streptococcaceae.